Molecule: long non-coding RNA, 404 nt
Filed under: Solanum tuberosum (potato)
Lineage: Eukaryota; Viridiplantae; Streptophyta; Magnoliopsida; Solanales; Solanaceae
Description: long non-coding RNA (STUB_LNC000907)
Source: RNAcentral
UUUCUGUUAUUUAUCAAAAACAGAGAAAUGGUACUCAAACCAAUAGGGAAAUUCUAACUAGUAAAAGAAAUGAGAUUAAUAUUGAGCUCCAUUCAAGAAUUGAUCUGCAGAAGAAGAAGAAGAGAGGAAAGAAUCAGAUUGAGAUGAGAUGAGCAGAGAAUUUGAGAGGGAGAAAAGAGCACGAGGAAAGGGUUGAGAAUUACCAGAUUUUAGUUAGCCUUCUCUCUCUUCUGUGAUGUGUAUAUAUAACCAUUUGUCCACGUGGCACGAUCUCGUCCCUUGAGCUUAAUUAACUGAAAUAAAUCUUGACCCUUCAUUCUUUUAUUUACUCAGUUAAGACUUAUACUCCUUCCGGACUUCAACUCUUAACGGCAACAUUUUAUCAGUUAGUGGAGAUCAUAACA